RNAcentral lists this ribosomal RNA (305 nucleotides) under uncultured bacterium. Its description in RNAcentral is "bacterial SSU rRNA". It matches the Rfam family "Bacterial small subunit ribosomal RNA", at positions 332 to 638 of the family's 1533-position model. The record is from RNAcentral.
UGGACCUACGGGGGCAGCAGUGAGGAAUAUUGGUCAAUGGGCGGGAGCCUGAACCAGCCAAGCCGCGUGAGGGAAGAAGGUACAGCGUAUCGUAAACCUCUUUUGUCAGGGAACAAAGGCGGGGACUAGUCCCCGGAUGAGGGUACCUGAAGAAAAAGCAUCGGCUAACUCCGUGCCAGCAGCCGCGGUAAUACGGAGGAUGCGAGCGUUAUCCGGAUUUAUUGGGCGUAAAGCGAGCGCAGGUGGUUUAUUAAGUCUGGUGUAAAAGGCAGUGGCUCAACCAUUGUAUGCAUUGGAAACUGGUA